GAUGAACGCUGGCGGCGUGCCUAAUACAUGCAAGUCGAGCGAACAGACGAGGAUCUUGCUCCUCUGACGUUAGCGGCGGACGGGUGAGUAACACGUGGAUAACCUACCUAUAAGACUGGGAUAACUUCGGGAAACCGGAGCUAAUACCGUAUAAUAUCUUGAACCGCAUGGUUCAAUAGUGAAAUACGGUUUUUCUGUCACUUAUAGAUGGAUCCGCGCCGCAUUAGCUAGUUGUUAAGUUAACGGCUUACCAAGGCAACGAUGCGUAGCCGACCUGAGAGGGUGAUAGGCCACACGGGAACGGAGACACGGUCAAGACUCCUACGGGAGGCAGCAGUAGGGAAUCUUCCGCAAUGGGCGAAAGCUUGACGGAGCAACGCCGCGUGAGUGAUGAAGGUCUUCGGAUCGUAAAACUCUGUUAUUAGGGAAGAACAAAUGUGUAAGUAACUAUGCACGGCUUGACGGUACCUAAUCAGAAAGCCACGGCUAACUACGUG
Molecule: ribosomal RNA, 497 nt
Filed under: uncultured bacterium
Lineage: Bacteria
Description: partial 16S ribosomal RNA
Rfam family: Bacterial small subunit ribosomal RNA
Source: RNAcentral